This is a long non-coding RNA of Syngnathoides biaculeatus (alligator pipefish), 1234 nucleotides long. RefSeq lists it as uncharacterized. The transcript is spliced from 9 exons. Lineage: Eukaryota; Metazoa; Chordata; Actinopteri; Syngnathiformes; Syngnathidae. The record is from RefSeq and is a predicted model, not a curated record.
UCGGGACCGCCUAGCAACUCGUCUCUCAUUGGUCCACUUUCCGCCCACCUCCGACCAAUGGCGUGCGAGCCGCCAUGCGGAAGUUGGCGAAAUCGUCGGAGCGGUAAAAUGACGACGAAGAGAAAGAAGGAGGAGGCUGAGGACAGCCUCGACACUGAGACUAAGUUUUGGCAAGAUUAUGUUUAAAGAGUGAGAAGUGUAUUCCUGGGAACUUCUUCAAUCGCUGUCUCCUGAAACCAACACGACUUGAAUCAAGAGAGGUUUGGGGCAAGCUGAAGCCUCUUCCAGCUCCUUUGAAGUGUAAAGAGGCUACAUCUUGGACUGGUCGCCAGUCUAUUGCAUAUAAUAUAAAUGUGCCAGCCCUCAAGGAUUUUCCCAAUUGUUCAUCUGAUUCUUGAAGGUUAUGAGAACGUCUCCUCGGAGGUGAUGUCAUGUCACGAUGUCAUUUGGUUUCAGCAACCCACUACACGCGUGUUUGGGGCACAGUAAGGGAAGGUGGGGUCAGCCUCACCCAUCCAAGAGAGAAGUGCGGUCCAACCCCACACUGUUGCCCGACCAGACCUCAGAAGGGGACUGCACAGCCUUACACCAGUUCUUAUGUCUUCAUAUUCUUAUCAGCUUAUCCUCAAUACUGUCGUGAGCCCAGUGUAGAUGUCAAGUCAUAAAUGCGUCAUGUGCACCCAAGACGGACAACGUCAGCUCAAUCAGAAGAGAAAUGCUCCAAUGUAGCCGAAACUGAAGACAUCUUCAUGGAUGAUGGCGAAGGUUUUGCCAAGGUCUUUGGUCCUCUUCAGCUGCAGAUCGCCCCUCUCUUCUGCAUCCACUACAACGACAGAAGGUACAGUUGUUGUUUUGCGGUGAUGUUCAAGUGCCACACUUACCCCGGUACCAUCGCCCACCCACGUGAGAAUCACAUAAGAGCCAUCGUCACCAUUAAACCCCGUCUGAAAAGCAAAACCACACCACACUGUCAAACUGGAAAACUACUUAUUUGCAUUCCUUUGCUUUACAUUUCCUCAUUAUUGCCAAUCAGUGUCGUUUUGUUCCUAUUAAAUUCAUUCUGUUGUUUUUGAUUGCAUGGAAGAAUGACGAAAAUCACAAAAUCAAGACUUAUGCACGCCAACAUGUAUUGUGUCAUACUAAAACUCCACAGAACCACAAAAACUGUAUUUAAACUUGUACAACACUAUGGACUUUGGCCUCAUUCGCAUUAAAAAAAAAAAAAAAAACACGU